GGAGAGGUGGCAGAGUGGUCGAAUGCGCUCCCCUGCUAAGGGAGUAGCCGGUGUAAGCUGGCUCGCGGGUUCGAAUCCCGCCCUCUCCG
Molecule: transfer RNA, 89 nt
Filed under: Dehalococcoidia bacterium
Lineage: Bacteria; Bacillati; Chloroflexota; Dehalococcoidia
Description: tRNA-Ser
Rfam family: tRNA
About the family: Transfer RNA (tRNA) molecules are approximately 80 nucleotides in length. Their secondary structure includes four short double-helical elements and three loops (D, anti-codon, and T loops).
Source: RNAcentral